Molecule: ribosomal RNA, 254 nt
Filed under: uncultured bacterium
Lineage: Bacteria
Description: partial 16S ribosomal RNA
Rfam family: Bacterial small subunit ribosomal RNA
Source: RNAcentral
UACAGAGGUCUCAAGCGUUGUUCGGAUUCAUUGGGCGUAAAGGGUGCGUAGGCGGCGCGGUAAGUCGGGGUGUGAAAUCUCGGAGCUUAACUCCGAAACUGCAUUCGAUACUGCCGUGCUUGAGGACUGGAGAGGAGACUGGAAUUUACGGUGUAGCGGUGAAAUGCGUAGAUAUCGUAAGGAAGACCAGUGGCGAAGGCGGGUCUCUGGACAGUUCCUGACGCUGAGGCACGAAGGUCAGGGGAGCAAACGGG